Long non-coding RNA from Falco peregrinus (peregrine falcon), 3827 nucleotides. RefSeq lists it as uncharacterized. The record is from RefSeq and is a predicted model, not a curated record. The transcript has 4 exons. NCBI's taxonomy places the organism in Eukaryota, Metazoa, Chordata, Aves, Falconiformes, Falconidae.
UUCAUUCUUUCUAUGUUUAUUCAAAAAGAAAAUACUAUUUGGGUGUUUGUGUGGCUGGUUGAAAUUCCAACUUUUCACAGUAUGUAGGAAGGAAAAAGCCACUGAAUUUUCAAUUAGUGGCCACAGUUUUGGGGCAUAGCCCAGGAAUUUUUAUCAGUAAAGCAGUACAACUUGAUAUUAGGGACAAGGCAUCCCCUUUCCUGCGGCUAUACCUUGAUAUCCCACAUUGGCUUCAGGUUCAAUGUGCACCUGACUCUGCCCUGGCGCUGGCACUGAGGAACCAGCUGCUGCUUUCACAUGCCUGAGAUGUAUCAGAUGGUAUGACUGAAGUGGGACAGAUGGGAGAAGGAGCAACAGCAAGCUACUGGAAACCAUCCAAAUGUUUAAAUGAGAAGUGAGCUGAAGAAAGAAUGUUUCUGAAAAUGUACUUGUUCCUUAGUGGAUAAAAUACACUCAUUACUGGUACGUUCCCAUGCAUCGGUUAGUAUAGUCUUUAAUUAAAUUAUCCCUGACAUAAAGUCAUAGUCUCUCAGACAGCAGCACAGACUCGUGCUGCCCAACAGAACUCUUGACAGGCUGUAGGGGCCAUCACUGUGCUCUGCAGACCAGCAGCUCCAGUCCCUGAGAGACCCGCACAGGACUGGACUCAGCAGUUCCUGUGUCCCAGUCACCAGCCGAGACCCCGGUGGUGCCGCUCCAGGCCAGGAAGCGCAUCCUGGCAGCCCCAGAAACAGCCUGACCUGCUCCCAGUGGCAGCUGCAGCCACAGGAGCGGUGUGUAGCUCUGGGGUUCCACCGGUGAAACAGAAGACAGCUGGGUUUGGAACACCGUACGGGUCCCGUUACGGGGUCCCUGUGGCUCUGCCCCAGCCUGCGGGUCGGUAACGGGCCGUUCGCAGCAGGAGGCCACAGGCGCAAGGCAGAGGCACCUCAGGCUGUGAGCUGCUCUUGUCUGGAGGCUGCACUGUUGACCGCAAGCUCUGGCCAAAUACUACAGCUUUUUUAAUUAUUAUUUUUGUUUCAAUUUUUUACAGCCUAGAGAGUAACAGCACAGCUGGUCCCAUGCUGCUCUCCAUGGUACCUGACCAGCCAGCCCCACCUGGACACCCCGCAGGUGCCCAUGUCCUCGUGGUCAUGUUUCGGUCGGGGGCCGUGGGUUCCUGCCCCAGCAGUGCUGUAGGGUGCUGAUCACCAUGAAGGUAGGAGAAAGAGCAGUUAGCUGAGUGGGGGACCAUGUGCCUGCAGGCAACUUUUCCUCAAAUCAAAGAUUACUGGUCAUCCACCUCUGGUCUGGUACACAGGCAAUUGAUGUGACAGCUGGACCUUGGGGUGCCAGGACAGAGCAGGGACGAGGCCACAGCUGGUGCCUGGGCAGCACUGCUGGCAUCGCCACGCAUCUGCCAGAGGAUGUUGGGGUUUUCCCGAUCCAUCAAAAACAGCCAUCUGGAGAAAGUAUAAUACAAUUGGGAUAAAAUUUUAGAAGAGAUUACUUUAACUAACAUCUAAGAUUUCUUGUUCCACACACACACGAUUUCUGAGAUUGUUUGUGAACGUGAAUUAGCACUGGACUGUAGUUAUGGAACUUAGUUAAUUGAUCAUGGCCCAAGCAGCUUUGCUUCUAAAGCUGCUUAAAGCAGUGUGCUAAACCAAAAGGUUCCUCCGAUAACCCCGUCAAUGCCUGUGGCCACAGGUACUGUCACAGACCUUGUCUCCAAAGCAUCUGUGAGGGAACAUUGUUCUGACGUAAGAGUUUCCCAGAUUUGGUGGAAUCCCUGUGGUAAAUCAAAAAAAUUUGCAGGUUUCAGUUCAUUUCAGCACGAGUGGAAAGGAGAUAUAUACACAGUGGCAGGAGACAAGGAUGGAUGUUAAGGGAGCCUUCCACCAGUAAAACCACCAGCUGUGUCUCCAGGAUGUUACUAGUAAUUCUGCAGUACCUGAUUCCUGCCCCUGUCCCUUCUCCUCUCUGUCCUUCGCUCCUGUUUGUACAGCUGCAGCAGGACAUGUUUCUGCUGUUGAGUGACCAACUCUGGUCCCACUGUCACCCCUGAGGCAGGUUACCUCUCCAGAUGUCUCUUCCAUCCCCUUAAAGCUUUCUUCUAAAGAACCAGAACAUCACGGACAGGAUGUGACACAAGGUAUUUGCUCAAGUACAAUGGGUUUGGUGAGGAAGAGUUUAAGAUUUUUUUUUCCCAGCUAACUAAUUUUUCUUUUAGAAGAUUUUUUUUCUGAUUUUUUUUUUUGUUUGUACUUACAAAAAAGGUACAUUAAUCUCUGCAGCAAUUAAAAUUGGCUUUUUUCAUUUUACUACAUCCAAAUUUCUAGAUUCUCCAUCUACUUAAGCUUAAGAUUCAAGGCUCACAAGAGAAACCCUUAGGGAGGCAACCUAUUGCUGGACAUCAAAUGACACACCAUGUUUCCAGAGUUACAGCCAUGCUAACAAAGCUAAUAACAAUUUAUUAUUAAUAAUUCUGCUCUAGCUAAUGUGUCGUGCUUUUCAUUUUCAUUGUGCUGUAUGUACAUUAACUAAUAAAUAUCCACAAUAUCUCAGUGAGGGUGGUAAGUGCUGUUAUUCUCAUUUUAUGGAUGGCAAAAUGAGAUACAGAGAGGUUAAUAGCAAGUCUAAUUGGACAAUAAUUACCCACUUAACACACUGAAAAUUAAGAAAUAAUCCUCCCUUUGUCAUUACAUCAUCAGAACAAGGAGAGAGCAGUGUUCACAUUCUCCCUAUCCCACCAUUUAGCCAAACAGCUUAUAUGCAAAUGAAAGCAAAGCAAGUGCAACAGCAGAUAAAUAAAUUGUUCUUAUUUUUUUUUUAACAUCUAUUUUCCAUCACUGAGUCACUUCAGGAUAAAAGAAAAUUAUUGAAUUUUCUCUGAAAUCUAUUAGGAGAUGAUUUCAAAUGAAGUCAAACUCUAUUUGUAAAACAUGUCUUUUGGAAAAGAAAUGGAAGAAAGGGGAUGUAGUUACUGCUAUGGACUGGUUUAACUUAUUUUUUCUGAAGAGGCAAAAAAAUGUAGCAAAAAAAUUUCCAACUUAAAAGACAACGGGAAAGCCAGGAGCUCCGAAUUCUCUUGUGACAGCACUUGCACCUGCUUUGCAGCCCUCCGGUUGUUGGCUGAUACAUUUGGUGAUACCUGGUUUGAGCCUGUGUGUGUGCGUGCCAUCGGUGUGCUGUGACCUGUUACCACUCAGUCCUUUCAAAGAAUCAGGAGACUGAUGGGACCUUGGCAGGUUGUUCUGGUCUUGCCUGGCCACAGUGGCUGGCGCCAAAGGGCAGCACUAUCUGCUCAAAAACAUCCAAGCCACGGCUUGUUUGACCUUUGUCUACCUCUGCACAUCUCUUGGAAAAAUGGUGGGGAUCAGGAGCUUAUCUUUACCUUCUGUCAUUUAAAAGGAACGUGCUAAAAUGGUUGCUAGAGCCUUCAAGCAAGUCUGCAGCUGCCUCAUUAUGUGGAUUUCCAUUGGAUCAUGACACACAAUAACUGCUCAGAGUCAAAAGGCACCAAGUGAAGGCUCAGCAAAUGCAAUUGCCUUGUGAUGAACUGUCGGUCCUGGGCACUGCUGGAAUUAUGAAUUUCCAAGAUUUUGAUGGUACUGAAUUUUGCUAGUAGAAUGAAUCUUUAAGAUUUUGAUAGUACUGAACUUUAUCAAUAGAAUAAUAAUAUAUUAUUAUAAAAGGUAAUAAAGCCCAAUAAUCUAUGUUUUUAUAUUUCCAUAGUCCCCACUAAUUUUAUGGGAGCACAUGGUAUUUUGUCCCAAAAGUGACAGUGACUUGAUGACAAGAGAAUGUCAUUAACAGUAGCAGCUAAUGCUAUGCACGUGAUUAUG